This is a long non-coding RNA of Bos taurus (domestic cattle), 1101 nucleotides long. The record is from Ensembl. NCBI's taxonomy places the organism in Eukaryota, Metazoa, Chordata, Mammalia, Artiodactyla, Bovidae.
GAGCGCUUCGUGUGGUUUCCUGACAGAGGCGGCCCCCCGCCCUGCGUGCGGGCAGAGGCUCCGGCCCGGGACCGGGACCCGGCCGAGGGGCUGCACCGCCAGCAGGGGGCGCUGUGUCCCCGCGUUGCUCGCGUUGCCGCCCUGACUUCGCUUUCCCUCUCGGGCAAUGAUGGGCGGAACCCGCUGUUGAUCCCGGGAUGGGGGUCCUGAGUUAAGGCCGGGUAAACUCGGAACAGGGCGUCUCUGCCUUGCGACGUGACUGUGUCUGUGGCCGGCGCCCAGGGUGAUGCUGGAUCCGCUGUUUCUCAACCACGGUCCUUCGCCCACAUCCCAGCAGCGAAGACCCACCUGGCCUCGGCACAGGGGCGGCGGCUGAGGCUCUGCCCGGCCAGUCCUGAGGGGACACAGCCUGGACGCGUCUGCAGGAGCCGGAGCUGCUCGGGGACAAGGGCGCGGAAGGUGCUGGGGGCGGCGGGCCUUCCAGGUGGACGGACGCCCCCACCUGCGCCUGGAGCCGGACCCCCGCUUUGGUCCUGGACGUGGGGACACGAAACUCUGACGGGGGGCAAAGGCCUCAGGCCCUGCUCUGAACCACAUCUGUCUGCAGGAGGGAAGCGUGCUUGGCCCCCCACCAGCGGCAUAUUUCCUUAAAUUAUCUUCCAGGGCUGCUCAUUCCAAGGACACUGGGCUUGAGGAGCAAAGAGCUGUGCCCCGGAGGCCGGCUUCACCGGGGUGGGUCGUGGGGAGGUUGAAGGCGGCGACCGGGCCUCUGGAGCCCUUGUCGUGGGGCCUGUGCUGCUUCUAGGCACUCAGCCCAGAAAGGCCAGACCGUGUCCCACAGCCUGGGCUAAGCUGGCAACGGCCAAGGCUACCCCCACGGACGGAGCCCCUGACCCAGGAGGAGAACAAUGGUCUCUGAUGGGCUGGUGUGGAACAUAACUCCUACAAAAGCCCACAUUGGUCCUGAGAUGCCACGGCCCCUUUCUACCCUCUGCUUUCCUAGAGUGUGGAGCUCUCACAACCUUUCCGAUCCAUCAAAUGGGGCUUGAGAUGCAAUGACUUAUUUAUGAAUGAAAUUGGAGGUGGCGCAUUAAUAAAUUA